GAUGAACGCUGGCGGCGUGCUUAACACAUGCAAGUCGAACGGAAAGGCUCCUGCUUGCAGGGGUACUCGAGUGGCGAACGGGUGAGUAACACGUGGGUGAUCUGCCCUGCACUUCGGGAUAAGCCUGGGAAACUGGGUCUAAUACCGGAUAGGACGAUGGUUUGGAUGCCAUUGUGGAAAGUUUUUCGGUGUGGGAUGAGCUCGCGGCCUAUCAGCUUGUUGGUGGGGUAAUGGCCUACCAAGGCGUCGACGGGUAGCCGGCCUGAGAGGGUGUACGGCCACAUUGGGACUGAGAUACGGCCCAGACGCCUACGGGAGGCAGCAGUGGGGAAUAUUGCACAAUGGGCGCAAGCCUGAUGCAGCGACGCCGCGUGGGGAAUGACGGCCUUCGGGUUGUAAACUCCUUUCGCUAGGGACGAAGCGCAAGUGACGGUACCUGGAGAAGAAGCACCGGCUAACUACGUG
RNAcentral lists this ribosomal RNA (465 nucleotides) under uncultured bacterium. RNAcentral describes it as "partial 16S ribosomal RNA". It matches the Rfam family "Bacterial small subunit ribosomal RNA", at positions 28 to 507 of the family's 1533-position model. The record is from RNAcentral.